Long non-coding RNA from Capra hircus (goat), 372 nucleotides. RefSeq lists it as uncharacterized. The record is from RefSeq and is a predicted model, not a curated record. The transcript is spliced from 2 exons. NCBI's taxonomy places the organism in Eukaryota, Metazoa, Chordata, Mammalia, Artiodactyla, Bovidae.
UUCCCAGAACUCGGGUAUUAAUGACCCGGAGCCACAUGACAGAGCAUGACACAGCACUUUUGGGCGCAAGGCAGGGCCCAGAGGGGUGCGUGGGGGGCCACAGCCCAGCCCCCUGGAGGCCAGCUGGCCGGACCUACUAUGUGCCAGGCACCAGACCAAGCGCUGGGGACGGCACAGCUCAUACGAAGCUGCCCGCUGUGAUGGGAGAGGUGGCGCGGCGUGGCAAGCGGUGAAGAACACAGAAGCCGAGCCAGAAGUCCUGGCUUUGCUCCUGACCUGCCUCUCAUCAACUGUGUGACUUUGCCUUACCUCUCUGAGCCUUUUCUGUCAAAUGGAAUAACUUACGGUACCCACCUUGUGGGGCUGUUCUAA